GUACUGCUGAUGAGUCCCACGAUAGGACGAAACGGCCGUCCAGUGC
RNAcentral lists this non-coding RNA (46 nucleotides) under Schistosoma haematobium. Lineage: Eukaryota; Metazoa; Platyhelminthes; Trematoda; Strigeidida; Schistosomatidae. The record is from RNAcentral.